CACAAAUCUGUCAGCCAGAGACACAAACAGAGUCAAACUUAACAUUGAAUUAUAACACAGUUUUUCAAUAGCAGAAUGAAUCAAAAAACACACUGGUUUUUAGUUCUGAAAGGUGUGUCUAACAACUGUUUUAGAAUUCCAAAAGUCAAACAGGCAACGUGUGGUUGAGCAUUCCUGGUCAAAUGAUGAGUUACAAGACUCAGUGGGGAGGAAGAUUGCUCUGCACAUCACAUCUCCUUUCUGUCCACACCCCUUUAUUCCAUUCUGGCACUCUCGUGAAAGCGACACUGCAAGGUAAGGUUGGUCGGAAGAGAAGCUGCAAAGAACACCUGUGUUGUGCGAGGCAGGCAGAUGUUGAGAAUUCUGCUGAAAGUAAUGCGUGCAGGGAAAGAUCCCUGACAUCUUUCAGUUCAACGUGCCCACAUGCGAGCCCUCCGUUCAAAGGAA
This is a long non-coding RNA of Gasterosteus aculeatus aculeatus (three-spined stickleback), 447 nucleotides long. NCBI's taxonomy places the organism in Eukaryota, Metazoa, Chordata, Actinopteri, Perciformes, Gasterosteidae. The record is from Ensembl.